This 2750-nucleotide long non-coding RNA is filed under the name Canis lupus familiaris (dog). RNAcentral's name for it is "lncRNA (ENSCAFG00040004962.1)". The record is from RNAcentral. Lineage: Eukaryota; Metazoa; Chordata; Mammalia; Carnivora; Canidae.
GAAGAUCUAUUCCUUCUUGAAAGACCUGGGCCAUGGUUGUCCAAGUCUUCUAGGUGUCAUCAUUCACUAUAAUAUUUCUCAUCAAUCAGUUACCAUCCUAAAAGGAUCAGCUGAAGGCCAUCAAUUGCAUCGAACAUCCUAAGAAGAAAGAAUCACACCUGGCCAGCAUCCUAAUAGUGAGCAACCUUUCUGCUUUCCUCAAGAGUCAACAGAAAAAGAUGAAGACUCUGACACUGCUGGCAUGCAUUUGUGCACUGACUGCUUGCUUCUCACUCUGUGAAGGUUGGAAAAAGCAAGGGAAAAUACAUCACAAAAGGAAUAAUGUCCAACAAUAUACAUUAGACCGCCGAUUACCAACUCAUCUCAAAUUUCACCCUAACUGGAAUAUAUUAAUUCAAAAGCAUUUAAUUUUUGGUCCACACAGAUACCCAAAGCGUCCAAAUCCAAACAGAAGAAAACCAAAGCCGACCCGUCCCCAGCCACCUAAAUGUCCAACUAAAACUAACACCGUUGUCAACAGUAGCACCUCAGAGGCCAACACUCAAAUCCCAUCUUUGAGUCCCAUAACUACUUCCAACAAAAUUGUUAAAUCUCCAGGUGUGACUUCUACUAAUAAUGUUUCCACCAUAUCUCAAAAAGAAGAUACCAAUACAGGCCCUUCUGCAGCUACCCCAUCAACACAACCUUCCCCCGCCCUGCCAGACACCACAGCUGCCCCACCUACAUCUUCCCUAACUACACCAGCACCACAACCUUCCUCACCUCUACUGGACCACACAACUGCCCCAAAUACCACACCUAAUCCUUCCCCAACCACUCCUGCUUCUCCAACUUCCAAAACUACAACUGCACCCACCACCCAAACUACUACUCCGGCCACUACUCUAACUACUACUGUUGAACAAACAACCUCACCUUCCAGCCAAAAUGCAAAUUCUCAAUUCUGGCAAUAUAUUUAUGAGUUAAUAAAGUACAUUUCUGGUAUUACACCAAAGAAAUAGUACAUCAUACAUUAUGAAGUGUUCUGUUGUCAGACAUGAGUUAUGAGUUAUUUUUGCCACCAAUCUCAAAGUGAAAUAACAAUAUUCUUCAAAUUUAAAGCACUAUCACUAAUCUUUGAAUCUAUUUACCUCACAUGACUUAUUAACAAGAAAAACCACCUCUAUCUCACAAAACAAGUGCAUAACUUUAAUAGAUCACUUUGUGGAACCUAUAGAGACAGCCCUCUGAGGGGGGAAAAGACAUUAACUAAACAGACAAAAUUACAUGGAUCAGGAAACAUUUAUUUUUCCCUAAAUGAUGGAAACCAUAAGGUCACUAUUCUAUACCCUCAACCAAGAACUCACCUGAAUUGUCUAAUCCCACAAAUAUAAAGGGAUAAUAUCAUGUCUCUCAAACAAAAACAUGUAAAUAUAGAUUAACCUAUAUUGUAGGUUAAUCAUUGUAUUACUGGUUAGAGACAAAAAUUCUUUAAACAAUCAUCCUAAAGCCUUAAAUCCAAUUCCAUUCCACAAAAUGUGAACCAAGGAAGGGAAAGUUGAUUUGAAGUGAAGAUUUGAAGUUAGUGAAAAUGAAAUCUGGCAGCCAAGCACAAACCAGGUCCCUGGCACUAUGUAUUUGAGAACAUAUGAUUGUUUAGACUUAUGGUUGAUUUUAAUUGUAUUAUAUCUAAGUUAAUUUGCAUCCAAUGUACUUGAUUCUAGCCUCUGUGAAUCACAAAAAACUUUUUGUGUAUGUUCACAUGGUGGUAAUAUUUUACUAUGAAUUCAAUUAAUUUUAUCUUACUAAUUCAAUUAAUUCAAUGUGAAAUGUAUUCAGCAGCAGAGUAUUUUCUAAAACUUUUAGCCAUACAUUUAUAAAUGUGUUUUAAAGCAAACCAUACUAAACUACUGCCCUGGUGUUACGUUUGCAAAACUGUCUCUGAAAAUAAACCCUGAUUGUAGUCAAUAGGAGAAUAACAACUAUCUACUUGGUAUAGAGAGAUAAUGUUAAUUUGGGAUGUGAAGGUAUUUUUACUUUGUUUUACUACUACUGAGAACUCUGAUGAUUUUAUUUAGAUUUUUUGUCAAAUAAUAAAGACUUCUCAUGGCAAUCUGUUUUCACUGUGUAUAUCUGCAAGCCCCUUAUCACUUAGAUUCUGAGAAGGGUGAAAAUGAACGUCUGCAUUUUUUGUCAACUCUACCACCAAUUAGCCAAUGACCAAACCAUCCCCAGCCACCUAAGUAUCCAGCUAAAAAUAACACUGUUUUUUAGGUAUGACACUCAAUAUCUCUCAACACUGGGGGUUUUAAUCCUUUAAACAAAGUGGUUAAUUUACUUAGAUUAACUUAAUCUUUACUUAUUUUUAACUUACAAAUACAUUUCCAAUCCAAAUUCUGUGUUUGCCCUGUGCUUCCCAGACUGACAAUAAAAGACCCCUAUUCCUUUCACUUAAUUCUGUUCCUUCGGUUUCAUCUCAGACUAGCUUAAAAGGAACUAUCAGAAAGAGAAAUUAAGAAAACAAUUCCAUUUACAAUUGCAUCAGAAAUAAUAAAUCACCUAGGAAUAAAUUUAACAAGGAGGUGAAAGAACUGUACACUGAAAACUGUCAGACACUGAUGAAAGAAACUGAAGAAGACACAAAUAAAUGAAAAGAUAUGCCCUGCUCAUGAAGUGAAAAAUUAGUAUUGUUAAGAUGUCUAUCCUACCCAAAGGAAUCUGCAUACUCAAUGCAAUCUUUGUCAACGUUCUAGUGGCAUUUUUCAUAAAAA